GACGGGUGAUGCAAGCGUUAUCCGGAAUUAUUGGGCGUAAAGUGUCCGCAGGUGGUCUUCCAAGUCUGCUGUCAAAGACCGGAGCUCAACUCUGGGCAGGCGGUGGAAACUGGAAAACUAGAGCACGGUAGGGGUAGAGGGAAUUGCCAGUGUAGCGGUGAAAUGCGUAGAUAUUGGGAAGAAUACCAGUGGCGAAGGCGGUCUACUGGACCGUAACUGACGAUCAGGGACGAAAGAUAGGGGGGCGAAAGGG
Molecule: ribosomal RNA, 253 nt
Filed under: uncultured bacterium
Lineage: Bacteria
Description: partial 16S ribosomal RNA
Rfam family: Bacterial small subunit ribosomal RNA
Source: RNAcentral